Molecule: long non-coding RNA, 1295 nt
Filed under: Piliocolobus tephrosceles (Ugandan red Colobus)
Lineage: Eukaryota; Metazoa; Chordata; Mammalia; Primates; Cercopithecidae
Description: lncRNA (ENSPTEG00000005715.1)
Source: RNAcentral
UCACUUAUUUUAUUAUUAUUAUUAUUAUUAUUAUUAUUAUUAUUAUUAUUAUUAUUAUUUUUUUUUUUUUUUUUUUUUACUAUUAUGACAUAUUUUUAAUAAAAAAAAAAAUAUAUAUUCGUAAUGCGAAAUUACAAUAUGCUUUAAUCACAAUUUUAUUUAUCAAUUAUAAUUCAAUAUCAUUUAUCAAUUAUAAUUUGUUUAGUAUAUUAACUUUUUUCAACUUUUGCAUUUUUAUUUUUUAUUUUUUUUCUUUAAGUUAUUAAUUUUUGUAUUAAUUCUUGCAUUAAUUUUUGCAUUGAUUUUAAUUUGUUUCGUUUUUUCACCCUUUCUUAUUUGUUUUUGUUUUAACAUUUUACUUACGCUUUUUACUUUUUUACUUUUCAAUUUAGUUCGCUUCAAUUUUCUAUAUUUUUUAUUUCUUUCAUUUACCAUUUCAUGGCAAAUAACUUAAAUGGGGAUAUUAAAAAUUUAGAUUUUGGAGCAGAAUUCAAAAACUGCAAAUGUUUAAACUUAUGCGAGCUUCAACUCAUUUUGAGCGAUCAGCUUAGAUUAACAUCAAAAAGGAAUGAAGAAGCACAAGCAUUAAUAAAAUCUUCUUUUGAGUAUGCCGACCGAUUUGCAACAAUAAAAAACAGAAGCUCCAUUGUGGAUGUCAGAACAAAUUUAGAACGUUUAGGUGAAUUACAUGAAUAUGAAAUAGCUAUGUUAGUUAACUUAUUACCGAAGACUGUUAUAGAAGCAAGAUAUUUUAUACCUUCUUUAAUUAGGGUUAAUGAUGAUACACUCAGUUCAAUAUUAGAACAUCUUAUAAGUUAUAAAAUGUAUGUUUCUUGAAUCAGUGUAUUUAUGCAGCAAAAAAAAAAAAAAAAAAAUAUGUGUACGCACAUUUUUAUACAUGUUCAAGAGGGUAAAAAAAAAAAAAAAAAAAAAAAAAAAAAAAGUGUGCUAGGUGUGCUGUAAGUUUAGGUCUACUAACACAAGAUAGUUGUGAUUUUUUUUUGACAAAACAUUAUAAAAAAAAAAAAAAAUGUAUUUUUUUUGUUAAUUAUUUUUUUUUUUUAAAGCUGAUUAUAAAUGGUCAUAUGUAGUCAUAAUUUACCUGACAUGUUCAUAUUUUGUCAUGAUUUUCCAUAUUUUACUGACACUAUUAGAGCUAGCGAAAUAAUCCUGUUACUUAGAUAGCUAGCCAGCUAGCGUUUGGAACCACACACGUCUUAGCAAAAAUAAGAAUGUGUGUUAAGUCUUAAAAUGGUAUUAAUAAAUGUGUUAAGGAUAUGAGAUAUUUAUAAAAG